AGCUGGUCCUGCCCUCUGGGAACCGGGCUGUCUGGCUGAGCCUCCUCUUCUCUAUUUGGUUUUCUUCCUCUCCAAAGAAAAGGAAAAAAAAAGCCCAAAUGUGCACACUGCAUAAUUAUAGCGCCUGAAUUGCUUCACUCUGUGCCUGCGGUCUCCUGGGAGCCGGCGGUCAAUGAACUCCAAAGGCCACCGGGCCAGGCGAUGCUUUCCCGGGAACAUCAGGAACCGUCAGCAUCGGCUCCUCCUUGGGUCCUGGGUGCGAGUGCGGAACAACCACACUGCCUUCCCUGGUCCCUGGCGUGCGUUUGGAUCACACGCAACACGUGUGUGGUGUCAGGGGCCCAUGGAUCACCCUGGCACUCCCUGCAGCCUGGUGCCCGAGGGGCCUCCACCCGUUCCCCCUGUGAGAAGGGGUGGCUGGGCCAGCGCCUCCAGUGGGAGGAAACUGAGCCACACCUGCAGGGACCCGUCCUGAGCCACAGCUGGAGACGCCGUGGACCCCGGUCCACUUCCGGCCACCCGGGGUCCUGGGAACGGCUGCCGCUGGCUCUGGUUGGCACCGACCCUGAUGAAUGCUCUCUCAGCCCUGGGCCCAGUGUUUGCAGGAGCUCGGGCCGGGGCCAGCUGGAGCCUGGACUCUGAAUGAGCUCCUUUCUUCCCGGGCUCUGCUCCGCCCUGAUUUGCAUGACUAAUGCUUCGGCUUUUAUCCCCUGAAAUGAGUGUGUUUGUUGAUUCUUGACCCGCCUCCUACUGAGGGGCAAAUUAUCUGCCCACCAGGCAGGGGCUUGCAGGGAGCCCAGGCAGGGACAAUCCCAGGACAGCUCACCCAGCCCGGGGAGGGCAGCAGCGAGAUCACGGCCGCCCACCCCCCCACCGCAGACUUGCUGAGGUGAGUGGUGGAGGAGGACCGGGCGGGGGGAGGACGGAGGCAAGGAUCCUCUUCGUGCUGCAAAUCUGAUUUCAGGAACCACUCAAAAGCCUCUUCAUGCGAGGCUGCAGUGGCUGUGGGGAGAGAGAAGACGCUGCUCUCAGCUCCGUCCCCCCAGCGCCACCUGUUCAGUCACACGACUCAUCAUUUCCGCUUUGGUCGAAAUUCGAAAUGAAAUGAAAUCCGUAGCACAGCCGCCCUCGGAAACCCGCCGGGCGGUGGUGCAGCCUCGUGGCGAGCGAGACGAGCGAGACGAGCGAGACGAGCGAGACGAGCGAGCUGAUGCGGCCCCGAAAUGCGUGGCUGCUGGAGGCGACAUGAAGACAGGAGCUCCGUGGGCAAACCGUGGCACCUGCUGUCCCCGAAACUCAGCCAACCCCGCGUGAAAACACUGCAUACACAGAUUUGUUUAUUUGAAAGGCAGAGUUACAGAGAGGCAGAGGCAGAGAGAGAGAGAGAGAGAGAGAGAGAGAGGUCUUCCAUCUGCUGAUUCACUCUCCCAAUGGCCACAACUGCUGGAGCUGUGCCAAUCUGAAGCCAGGAGCUUCUUCCAGGUCUCCAGGUGGGUGCAGGGGCCCAAGGGCUUGGGCCUUCCUCCACUGCUGUCCCAGGCCACAGCAGAGAACUGGAUCAGAAGUGGAGCAGCCGGGACUUGAACUGGCGCCCAUAUGGGAUGCCGGCAGUGCAGGUGGCAGCUUUACCCACUCUGCCACAGCGCUGGCCCCCUGUCAGACACUCUUCCAAACAGAAAACACAUUGGAGAUUAAAUAAAAUAAACCUGUCCCUACUUUCAUUUUAAAAAAAAGUAUUGUUUUUGUGUAAAGUGUAUUUUCCUGGGGGCCGGCAUUGUGGCAUAGCCACAUCCCACAUGGGUGCCGUUCAAGUCCCAGCUGCUCCACUUCCGAUCCAGCUCCCUGCUAAUGCUCCUGGAAAGUCAGUGGAGGAUGGCCUUGGGCCCCUGCACCCAUGUGGGAGGCCCGGAUGGAGCCCCGGCUCUUGGUCCAGCCCCGGCCUGCAGGUUGUCCCAGAACCAGCCUUAAUAAGUCUGAUCCUUGCAAAGAAAGAAAACGUGGGGGGCGGAGGGGAGGCUGAAGCCCACUCCCACGACCUUUUCAACUGCCACACGACGUGGGCACUGCAAGCCACACUCAGGGGUGGAUGCCUCAGCCUUCUGUCCAGGGCACGUGGAGCCCACACUGCAAGACUUCCGGGCUGUCGGCUGAUGUCCGAGGACAUCGGUAGGUCACCUCUUCCUUUAGCCACGUGAGCACUGAGCCACCCUGGCUCCUGCCCACUCACAGGGAUUUGCAUGCAAAUCUCACACUCAGAAUAACUUCACAGCUGGGUGCGGGGGCCGCGGGGCGAGGUUCCUGACCAGGUGCCAAGCCGUUUAGCUGUGCGCGCGAUGCCUGUCACAGACUCCCAUCUAACCAUCCGCACUGCCGCGCGGGGAAGGGAUGCUAUCGACUGAUCACCCGGCAGCCUAAAAUUAGACGGUUUUAGCAAAAUGUGGGAAGCGGAGAGCAGCCUCCCCAGCUGCAGCCAGUAGCGCUCUCUGAGCUGUGGCCCCGAGCCGGGCCCUGUGCCCACGGGGGCUGCAAGUGAGCAACACGAAUCACGCCCCGGACUCACAGCGCUGGCCAGGAGGGAAACACCACCACCAGAAAGGCGGCCCGGGAUGAGGGCUGCUGGUUAAGUCUGCAGGCACCGAGCUAAGCCCACCAGGGCACCGCGAAGGGAGUUUUAAAGCCGGGAUGGACAGUUCAGAAGGGCACAAGGCAUUGGGAAGUGAGAUGGGGCGGGGCAGGACGGACUAUUUGCAGACACUGGAAAUAAGCGGCGUUCCUGUUUGCAGCAUUGGCCUGGGGUGCAAAUUCCUCUCUCCCUGUGACUCAGGAACAAAAAGCCUCAAACACCCAGAGCAGGGGCUGCAGUCCAAGGGCCACUUCUGCAGCCGGGGCGCUAGGAGCAGGCAGGCUCGGGACCCUGAUGGCGGAGUCGGGGGUCAUUCAUUCGUCAGCCUCGUGCCCUGGCCCUACCCUGGGGCCCCAGGACACAGCUGUCCACGUCGCAGACGUGCGGACCAUGGCGAUGGACCAGGGCUGGGGACUCUUUGGGGUCAUCACAAGAGGAGCUCUGAGCACGGGCUGGCGCCCCACAAAGACCCCAACCCGGUAGGGUCUGCCCACCGGCUGCUUCUGGGGAACGGAGCCCCACCCAGGCCACCGCUGUGUGCCUGUGACCUGGCAUUCGCUGCCACGUGUCUGCUGUCAGAGACCCCCCCCCCACAUCAGCAGGAUCUCCUGGGUGACACCCCUGGGCACCUCUCCUGGAUGCCUGCGCGGCCCUUCAGGCUGCCGGCCACCAGCUCCGGGGUCGCCACCUGCUCCCACUCGUGUUCAGUCCCCCGGGACUAUGGCCUGGCCCUAUCCAGACUAAAGGGUUUUCACCAGAAGGGAAAGACACAGCCGGGGGUGGUGAGCAGCCCCCCAACACCUGCCGUGUCCAGUCCCCCCACGCAGGGUCCGCCCAAGGAUUGUGGAUUCGGGGUGUCUGUGUGGAGCCAGGUGUAGACUUGGCAGCACACGGUUGAGGCUCAGAGCUCAGCCCUGUCCCUCCCACAUUCACCAGACCAGCCUCUGUGCUGCCAUUUCCCGUCUACACCCGGGGAUGGCGACAGCGGGACUGCAGUGAGGCCCGAGGGAGGGAGGCGUCGGCCCAGCACAGGCGGAGCUGGGAGGCUGGGCGGAGUCAGCAGGUGCCCUGGGGUCUGAGCCAGAGCACGCUAAUCAUUUUGCUCGUGGCAGAACGGGCGGCCACCCACCGCUCAGCCUAGGACACGUGGCGGGUAUGACAGCAAACGCCAGGGUGCCCUUUACUGUAAACCUCAAAGCUGGAACCUGGGCGGGGGUAAAGGCUACCGCAGAGGGGCCGGUGCUGUGGCGUAGCGGGUAAAGCCGCCGCCUGCAGUGCCAGCAUCCCAUAUGGGCACCGGUUCAAGUCCCAGCUGCUCCACUUCUGAUCCAGCUCUCUGCUAUGGCCUGGGAAAGCAAUGGAAGAUGGCCCGAGUCCUUGGGCUCCUGCACCCACGUGGGAGACCCAGGAGAGGCUCCUGGCUCCUGGCUUCAGAUUGGUGCAGUUCUGGCUGUUGUGGCCACUGGGGAGUGAACCAGUGGAUGGAAGACCUCUCUCUCCCUCUCUCUCUCUCUCUCUCUCUGACUCUCUGUAACUCUGCCUUUCAAACCAGGAGGGACCUUGUAGCUGUUGCCAUGGUUACACACCAGGGCUCCAAUCCGCUGGAGCUGGGUUCAACACCCAGCCCCACCACUCACCCCUGUGUGUCCUCGUGCAGGUUUCCCAACCUGACCAAACCUCUGAGUGCUCAUCUGUAGCUUGGGGCUAAUGAUGUAGAGUGGUGGGAGGAAUACGUUUCCUAACCCAGCCGUCCGCCCGCACAUGAUCGUCGUCCGACGGUCAGCACCCAGGCCCAGGACAGCCUGGGAGCCUGCAGGCUGGAGAUGUGUGAGGCGGUGCAGGGGAGGGGGAAGCCCACGCAGCCACCCUGAGCCCCGCAGGGCCGUGGCUGAGGAGGAGCGGGGGUGUCUGUGGGCCUGUCCCUCAGCACCUUGUCGGGGUGCAUCCCCGCAGCUUUGCUCUGUGCAGGGGAUGCCCCUCCCAGGCUCCGGGCCUGCAGCCAGUGUGAGGCUCUGGCCUUGGCCAAUGCGUCGUCCCGAGCGCCCCACCGCAAGGCCCUCUACAAGCCUGGCGUCUGCUCUGUCCCCUGUGCCCUUAGCGGCCCCUCCCCAGCCGCCCAGAGGCCCGGGGCUGGGGGCGCGUCGGGUGCGCGCUGCCUUGGACCCCAUCCCGCCCAGCAAAUCCCACCAGGAUUCCAGGACAGCAGGGCGAGCGCUGGGAGGGGAGCGAGCCGUCACAGUCAAUACGCGGAGGGCGUGAGUAAAAGACAAGCCUGGCUGGCAGCGAACAUCGCUUUUAAUUGAGCCCAUGCCUACAUUUUUACACGCGACAAGGAAAUUAGUGACAGUGCGAGAAGCCUCGGAGAAAAAUUAAUUAGCCCUGCUGCCCAGCCCUCUGCCUGCUCGCUGCUCAGCCUGUGCCUCCCCCCUCCCACCCCACACACACACCCAGCGCAGCCGGCUGCACAUGCGCAGCUGUGGCCCCCACAGCACCCCCAGCCCUCCCCCCACUCCCCGCCCAGGACCAGGGCACAGGGUGGGCUUCCGAGGGAGGGGGCGCCAGGCAUGAGAGGGGCCUGGGCGUGCCUGGUGCACACACACGGCACCCAGGAGCAGGGCCAGCGGGGGAGGGGGGGGCAGAAACAGGAGCCUGUCCCUGGGGGCUGCGAGCCUAUCUGGUGAUCAGGGCUGGGAUGCCCCUCCAGCCCUGGCUCCCCCACCCCCGGCUCUCCCUCACUCCUGAUUGGGUGACUCCGUGAGUCCCAGCAUCUCCAUCCGUGCUCCGGGACGCUGGUGGCUGUGACCCUCGUGCCUGACCCCGGCCAGUGCUGUCCUGCACACCCGGGGUCACACCUGGGACCGAGGAGGCCUGAGUGCCCGAGGAAAUGACCUUGAGCUGCUCCUGCCUGCUUGCCCCCUGGGGUCUCGAGGCGAGACCGGUCAGCAUUCCCCCUGGGGGACCCACGUUUACUAAGGCUCAGAGACCUGGCGGCCACGUGUCCCACAGCGUCCCCGCCCCAUGCACAGCAGCACCCUCCACGCGCCCAGGCGGCUCCCAACAGCAGACACGGGCGCCCUGAACCUGCAGAGCGGAGCCCCAAGUUCAGCCGGGAAAGGGAAUUUGCGGGAAACCUUUGCCAGGCGGAGCGGUGGCUGCCGGGGGCCUGGCUGCCUGGCAUCCUCUCCGAGUCGCAGCCAGGUGGGGGGCAGGGCGCCCCUCGGCCUCGGAGGACCCCGCGUCUGCACCCAGCUGUGGAGUCUGCAGCCGAUUUCACGGGCAUUUAGGGAGGCCGCGGGAGGCCGUGGCUUAGCGUGUCCCCUUCUAAUUAAAGGACAGCGGCCACUUGUUCCCCGUCAGAGCUCACAAAGGACGAUUGCUCCAGGCCCCGGGCAGCUGGCGGGAGGGCGUCAGGUGCCAAAAUCCGGCGCCUGCCACCUGGCAUUCUUGGGAACUGGCCUUUUAAGGAGACGGGCCUUGUGAGGAGAUGGCCUGUCCCCCCAACCCCCAGCUGCCUCUGGGGGUCAGCUCUGCCCUCUGGGGGUCGGUUCUGCCCUCUGGGGGCAGAGGGCGAGGUCCUGACACCCCCCGGCCUUGCCUGGUAGAGCCGGGAGCUGGGCCCUGUGGGCCGGGGUAGAAGCGCCUGCCCUGUGCCGCCCACCUGCCAGCAGCCAGGACAGCCCUGGGAAAACGGACGCCACCACCCUCUCCAGGCCCGGAGCUGAGCCCCGUCACAUCCCUGUCCCCGCUCCUCCCCAGAGCCCUCCUGGGCCACCCAGCUGGAGGGGACACGGCGGCUCCCUGGCCCCCACAGCCUGCGCAGCGUGAGCUCCGGGGCGGUCACCUCGCACGCGUGUGGUCUGCGGAGGCGCCCUCAGCCCCAGGAGGGAAGCGUCCUCGGCUCACUGGCCUGUCGCCCCCACCCCAGGGCAUUCUGGGAAGAACGGCUGCUCCUCUCCAAGGCCAGAGGUCACGCGGUCUUGCUGUGCUGUGCUCCCAGGGCCCCAGAGCAGCCGGCCGACCGCCUUGUCUGUCCCUCUCGGUGUUGGGUGUUUGGCAGGAAACGCGCCUCCCAUGGCAACACGGAAAGCCAUGGCGCUCACAGAGAACCAGAUUCCCUGACUCCAAGGCGCCAGCAGCGGGGCCCCGGCCACAGUGCCCAGAGCAGCGACUGCUGGAGCCAGGUCCCGGCUGCCCUGAGAUGGGCUUGUUCUCUCCACCGCGCCUGCCGCAGUCUCCCCCUCCCCAGUGCCCCCGACGGAGGCCCAGGCUCUGUGCCCCACGCUGCGGCUGUGCUGUCCACAUGUGCUGUGCUGUGCGACCCUGGGCAAGCGCCUCUGCCGUCCUGGGCCUGCUCCCCCUGAGGAUGGGAACAGCAGCAGACCCGCCCCCAGGCCCAGCAGCAGACCCGCCCCCAGGCCCAGCAGCAGACCCGCCCCCAGGCCCAGCAGCAGACCCGCCCCCAGGUCCAGCAGCAGACCUGCCCCCAGGCCCAGCAGCAGACCCGCCCCCAGGUCCAGCAGCAGACCCGCCCCCAGGCCCCGGUGUCCGGAGCAGGAGCCGGAACCUGUGAGGACCAGGUCUGGAGGUGCAGGUGGCUCCGGGAGCCCGGCCGCUGCCUGCCCGGGUCUCCCCUGCCUCCUGCACAUGUCCCAUGCAGGGCCCUGUGGUGUCUGGGCUUGGGGACCUGCUGUGCGUGGAAAUGAGCCCGACCUCCUCCCCCAGCCUCUGUCAGCCCCAGCCCGGCCCAGCCCCACGACCCCUGCGGUCCACAGCCCCCCAGCAAGGGCCCUGUCCCUGGAGACCCCUCGGCCACCACGGCCGGCUUCUCUAACGUCUCCUACCUGGGCUUCAAUCCCCUGAGCCGCCAGGGCCGU
Molecule: non-coding RNA, 7497 nt
Organism: Oryctolagus cuniculus (rabbit)
Lineage: Eukaryota; Metazoa; Chordata; Mammalia; Lagomorpha; Leporidae
Source: RefSeq, a predicted model, not a curated record